This is a long non-coding RNA of Aphis gossypii (cotton aphid), 390 nucleotides long. RefSeq lists it as uncharacterized. The transcript has 3 exons. Lineage: Eukaryota; Metazoa; Arthropoda; Insecta; Hemiptera; Aphididae. The record is from RefSeq and is a predicted model, not a curated record.
UUCAGACAGCAAAAAAGAAAUAAAAUCAAAAAUGCAGUCUCAAACGAAUGAGUUGAUAUAUCAACAUAUGCAGUACAAUAAACCAGAGAAACACUACGGUGACGGUUGCAGUGACGUCCACACUAAAACGGAUAAUAAUACAAUACUUUCAUACACCAUGAGUCUGUCUGCAAGGUGUGCAGUGUAUACCGAUACCGAAUUGUGAUGAAGGUGAAAUUAUUGUUGGGCCGUGAGAUGCAAGAGGCCAUACAGAUGUACAAAAUGAUUCGCUUAUGGAUACUAUUUUAUUUAUUAAUAUGAUAUAUAAUAACAAGGAGUACGCCGGUAACGUCGCAGACGACCGUUGCCCGAGGCAGCUGAUUGAGCGUCGACAAAGUCCCGGACAAGGCC